Molecule: non-coding RNA, 159 nt
Filed under: Ailuropoda melanoleuca (giant panda)
Lineage: Eukaryota; Metazoa; Chordata; Mammalia; Carnivora; Ursidae
Description: Eukaryotic large subunit ribosomal RNA
Rfam family: Eukaryotic large subunit ribosomal RNA
Source: Rfam by way of RNAcentral
GAUAGCUGGCUUGUGGUGGCCAAGCAUUCAUAGCAAUGCUGUUUUAUGAUCCUUUGAUGUUGUUGUUCCCAUCAUUGUGAAGCAGAAUUCACCAGGCAUCGAAUUGUUCAUUCACUAAUAGGCAAGGUGAGCUGGGAUUAGACCAUCAUAGGAUAGGCU